Molecule: ribosomal RNA, 757 nt
Filed under: uncultured Pseudomonadota bacterium
Lineage: Bacteria; Pseudomonadati; Pseudomonadota
Description: bacterial SSU rRNA
Rfam family: Bacterial small subunit ribosomal RNA
Source: RNAcentral
AUUGAACGCUGGCGGCAGGCCUAACACAUGCAAGUCGAAUGGUAGCAGGAAACAGCUUGCUGUUUCGCUGACGAGUGGCGGACGGGUGAGUAAUGUCUGGGAAACUGCCUGAUGGAGGGGGAUAACUACUGGAAACGGUAGCUAAUACCGCAUAACGUCGCAAGACCAAAGAGGGGGACCUUCGGGCCUCUUGCCAUCAGAUGUGCCCAGAUGGGAUUAGCUAGUAGGUGGGGUAACGGCUCACCUAGGCGACGAUCCCUAGCUGGUCUGAGAGGAUGACCAGCCACACUGGAACUGAGACACGGUCCAGACUCCUACGGGAGGCAGCAGUGGGGAAUAUUGCACAAUGGGCGCAAGCCUGAUGCAGCCAUGCCGCGUGUAUGAAGAAGGCCUUCGGGUUGUAAAGUACUUUCAGCGGGGAGGAAGGGAGUAAAGUUAAUACCUUUGCUCAUUGACGUUACCCGCAGAAGAAGCACCGGCUAACUCCGUGCCAGCAGCCGCGGUAAUACGGAGGGUGCAAGCGUUAAUCGGAAUUACUGGGCGUAAAGCGCACGCAGGCGGUUUGUUAAGUCAGAUGUGAAAUCCCCGGGCUCAACCUGGGAACUGCAUCUGAUACUGGCAAGCUUGAGUCUCGUAGAGGGGGGUAGAAUUCCAGGUGUAGCGGUGAAAUGCGUAGAGAUCUGGAGGAAUACCGGUGGCGAAGGCGGCCCCCUGGACGAAGACUGACGCUCAGGUGCGAAAGCGUGGGGAGCAAACA